This 460-nucleotide ribosomal RNA is filed under the name uncultured bacterium. RNAcentral's name for it is "partial 16S ribosomal RNA". It matches the Rfam family "Bacterial small subunit ribosomal RNA", at positions 338 to 795 of the family's 1533-position model. The record is from RNAcentral.
CCUACGGGGGGCAGCAGUGAGGAAUAUUGGUCAAUGGCCGGAAGGCUGAACCAGCCAUGCCGCGUGAAGGUCAGUGCCCUAUGGGCGUUAAACUUCUUUUGUGCGGGAGCAAUAAUGGUCACGUGUGGCCAGACGAGAGUACCGUACGAAUAAGCAUCGGCUAACUCCGUGCCAGCAGCCGCGGUAAUACGGGGGAAGCAAGCGUUAACCGGAUUUAUUGGGUUUAAAGGGUGCGUAGGCUGUGAGGUAAGUCAGCGGUGAAAUGCCCCCGCUCAACGGGGUGAAGUGCCAUUGAUACUGCCUGGCUGGAAUGCGGAUGCCGUGGGAGGAAUGUGUGGUGUAGCGGUGAAAUGCAUAGAUAUCACACAGAACACCGAUUGCGAAGGCAUCUCACGAAUCCGCGAUUGACGCUGAUGCACGAAAGCGUGGGUAUCAAACAGGAUUAGAUACCCCAGUAGUC